GUGAGGAAUAUUGCGCAAUGGAGGCAACUCUGACGCAGCCAUGCCGCGUGCAGGAAGAAGGCGCUACGCGUUGUAAACUGCUUUUAACCGGGAAGAAACCCCAGGACGUGUCCUGGGUUGACGGUACCGGAGGAAUAAGCACCGGCUAACUUCGUGCCAGCAGCCGCGGUAAAACGAAGGGUGCAAGCGUUAUCCGGAUUCAUUGGGUUUAAAGGGUGCGUAGGCGGAGCGUUAAGUCAGUGGUGAAAUCCUGCAGCUUAACUGUAGACUUGCCAUUGAUACUGGCGCUCUUGAGUGCGCUUGAAGUGGGCGGAAUGUGCCGUGUAGCGGUGAAAUGCUUAGAUAUGGCACAGAACACCAAUUGCGAAGGCAGCUCACUAAGGCGAUACUGACGCUGAGGCACGAAAGCGUGGGGAUCGAACAGGAUUAGAAACCCGUGUAGUCC
RNAcentral lists this ribosomal RNA (445 nucleotides) under uncultured bacterium. RNAcentral's name for it is "partial 16S ribosomal RNA". It matches the Rfam family "Bacterial small subunit ribosomal RNA", at positions 354 to 796 of the family's 1533-position model. The record is from RNAcentral.